GGCCCCUUCGGGGGUGCUCGAGCGGCGAACGGGUGAGUAACACGUGAGCAACCUGCCCUCCACUUCGGGAUAAGCCUGGGAAACCGGGUCUAAUACCGGAUAUGACCUGCUGCUGCAUGGUGGUGGGUGGAAAGGGUCCUGCUUUUGUGGGGUCUGGUGAGGGAUGGGCUCGCGGCCUAUCAGCUUGUUGGUGGGGUGAUGGCCUACCAAGGCGACGACGGGUAGCCGGCCUGAGAGGGCGACCGGCCACACUGGGACUGAGACACGGCCCAGACUCCUACGGGAGGCAGCAGUGGGGAAUCUUGCGCAAUGGGCGGAAGCCUGACGCAGCGACGCCGCGUGGGGGAUGAAGGCCUUCGGGUUGUAAACCUCUUUUACCACUCACGAAGGCCCCUGGUUUUCUGGGGGUUGACGGUAGGUGGUGAAUAAGGACCGGCUAACUACGUGCCAGCAGCCGCGGUAAUACGUAGGGUCCAAGCGUUGUCCGGAAUUAUUGGGCG
RNAcentral lists this ribosomal RNA (500 nucleotides) under uncultured Actinomycetes bacterium. Its description in RNAcentral is "bacterial SSU rRNA". It matches the Rfam family "Bacterial small subunit ribosomal RNA", at positions 73 to 560 of the family's 1533-position model. Lineage: Bacteria; Bacillati; Actinomycetota; Actinomycetes. The record is from RNAcentral.